GACGAACGCUGGCGGCGUGCCUAAUACAUGCAAGUCGAACGAACCGCGACUAGGUGCUUGCACUUGGUCAAGGUGAGUGGCGAACGGGUGAGUAACACGUGGGUAACAUACCUCAUAGUGGGGGAUAACAGUCGGCAACGACUGCUAAUACCGCAUAGGACAUAGGAUCACAUGAUCCAGUGAGGAAAGGUGGCGCAAGCUAUCGCUAAGAGAUGGACCCGCGGUGCAUUAGCUAGUUGGUAGGGUAAAGGCCUACCAAGGCGAUGAUGCAUAGCCGACCUGAGAGGGUGAUCGGCCACAUUGGGACUGAGACACGGCCCAAACUCCUACGGGAGGCAGCAGUAGGGAAUCUUCCGCAAUGGACGCAAGUCUGACGGAGCAACGCCGCGUGAGUGAAGAAGGUCUUCGGAUCGUAAAGCUCUGUUGUUAGAGAAGAACAGCGCAUAGAGUAACUGUUAUGCGUGUGACGGUAUCUAACCAGAAAGCCACGGCUAACUACGUG
This 502-nucleotide ribosomal RNA is filed under the name uncultured bacterium. RNAcentral's name for it is "partial 16S ribosomal RNA". It matches the Rfam family "Bacterial small subunit ribosomal RNA", at positions 28 to 507 of the family's 1533-position model. The record is from RNAcentral.